Molecule: long non-coding RNA, 1213 nt
Filed under: Olea europaea subsp. europaea
Lineage: Eukaryota; Viridiplantae; Streptophyta; Magnoliopsida; Lamiales; Oleaceae
Source: RNAcentral
UGGCCCGCGGUUUUCAAAUUUCCACCUUCCCACUGGAUAAAGUUCAAGAAUUCUCUCAAUACUUUCUCCCUCUACGUACACAUUCAAAUUACGAUCACCUCCUUCGAUCAUAUUCUAAAGCUUCCACCGCCGGCAAAUCGACCAUAUUUUCUGGAACGAAAAGUGGGGAUGAAGACGACGAGUUUGUGGAGACCCAGUACUACAAAGAGUUGGAAUCCAUUGAUAAACAGCAUCGCACGGUUCGGUUAAUUAUUCCUUUUCUUUGCUUGUUGAAUUUGUAUAUGUUGGCAUAAAUACUUAUUAAAUUGGGGGUUUCUGGUUUCUUGUACUGAACAGACAGGAAAUGGUUUUAUAAAAAGGGACAUGGAAAAGAGCGGAAAUGAAGAGCAUUUUCAAUUACGAGGAAGCCAUGGCACUAAUGGAGGAUUUAAACAGACAAUUUUCAAAACUAACCCAGCAACAAAUGAUUGGAUUCCAAGCUUCGAAGAUCAUCAGGUGAUUUAAUUAUUAAUUCGGUGAUCACUUAUGCUAAUAAAAGUUGAUUUGAGAUUAGUGCAUUGGCUAUUUUAAUCAGGUUGAAUAUAUUUCGUCGAAGCCAAAUCGGAGCGAGAGUUGUUAGGUCGCCGGCAGUAAGAGAGAUUAUCAUGCCAUGGACUUAUCUUAUUUUAAUCUUGUAUUAUUGGAAAGAGAAAUUAGCCAUUUGGUGAGAAUAAAAUAUAUGGAAUUAUUGAGUAUUCCCCAAACGGGUGUUUGGAAGACAUUUUUAUGUAAAAAUAUAUUUUUUAAUAAUAAAUUGAUGAAAAAUGUGUGGUUAAAAAAUAAGGAAAUUUUUUUUAUUUAUGUGUAAUAUUAUUUUAAUAAAGAAUGUGUGAUUGAAUAAAAGAGAGAGAAAAAUGUAUUUUAAAAAAAUGGGUGCCAAACGGGGCCCAAGUGUGGCAAUGUGCAUUGUUGAAGUGCAAAAGUUUCACUAGGUUUGCAUUGGUCACUUAGUCCAUAUUUGGCCUCCAUGGUCUUUCUUAUUAUUCUCUCUCUCUUAUUUGUAAUCAUACAAUCUUCCAUAAAAUAAUAUUAUAUGCAAAUAAAAAAAAUUUCAUUCCUUUUCAAUUAGACAAUUUUCAAAAAAACACAAUUUCAGGGAGGGGCAUGUGGGUAUACUAAUUCUGUUAGAAUAAGGUUAUAAAUAGAGGAGGGGAAGAAAGGGUGCGUAGGGCAG